Molecule: small RNA, 366 nt
Filed under: Arabidopsis thaliana (thale cress)
Lineage: Eukaryota; Viridiplantae; Streptophyta; Magnoliopsida; Brassicales; Brassicaceae
Description: ATSL012940
Source: RNAcentral
UAUUAUAUCAAAAAAAUUAACAUCAUUAUAUAACAUAUAGAGUUUAAAAAAUCUCAAAACAAUUUCGUCCUAUUUUGUGAUUCGAAAUUUUAAGAAUGAACAUAUAUUAACCAAUAGGCGAAAAAUGUGUGGGUUCAAUGUCCCGUAACGACUAAAAUAUUUUGACAAUGAUUCAUAAAGAUAUUAUAAAUAAGAUCAAUAUUAAUAAAAUAAAUAGUUUUUAUUGUAGACGGGUUUGGCAGGACGUUACUUAGUAACAAUUGCAAACUAUAAAAUAAUUUACAAAUUUUUAUAUAUAUUAAUUGUUAAAAAUGAGUUGUCGGGUUAAAAUCUAGUUAUAGACCGAAUUUCUUGAGCAGUUUUCAU